AUACGAAACUGAUAUGGGGGUUAACUGAGCUCCAAAACGUGGGAUACGAAAAAGAAUUAAAUGUCAUAUCUAUGUAGCAUUCUCAACUCCAUAGUGGCAGCACUGGCAACAGAAGUUGCAUGCAUGGAAGACAGUUUACGGAGAUAGCACGUUGUUGGACGUAUACGGAUGGCAGCAAGAAUUGGAAUCGUAAACAUGAUUUGUUUUGUAGCAGAAAUGAUAUCAACGGGAAUUGACAGUAAGUCAUGUAUGAACCACAUUGAUUCAACUGUGAAAGACAUAAUGUACAAUCAUGCAUAUGAAGAAUUAUUUGCACUCGACGUUGGUCCAGAAAAUCUAUUUAAAUGGCAACAAGGUGCUGUAAAAAAAUAUACUUUUUGGAUAUGUUGAGAAAGCUCAUAUAAGCGAGUUCCAAUGUAAAAAUUAAAGAAGUAAAGAAUGAAACUAAGGGCUGACAAAAGGAAAUGUCACAGAAAUGAUGAUAUUGCUUUAAAGGAUUUUUGGAUUCAUUUUGUACAUGUGUGAAUAGAAAACCAAUUGUCAGACCAACUGAAGAGGAAACUGCAGAAUUAGAAGUAAUACUAUGCAAAAGAAGCAGAAAAGGAAAUCCAUUCAAGAGAGCACUGUAUUACAUAACUUUUAAA
Long non-coding RNA from Bombus pascuorum, 644 nucleotides. RefSeq lists it as uncharacterized. The record is from RefSeq and is a predicted model, not a curated record. NCBI's taxonomy places the organism in Eukaryota, Metazoa, Arthropoda, Insecta, Hymenoptera, Apidae. The transcript is spliced from 3 exons.